Molecule: long non-coding RNA, 841 nt
Organism: Cebus imitator (Panamanian white-faced capuchin)
Lineage: Eukaryota; Metazoa; Chordata; Mammalia; Primates; Cebidae
Exons: 3
Source: RefSeq, a predicted model, not a curated record
CUUGACUUUUGGUAGAUUCUGGAACCUCUCAGGGAGGUUACUGGCCAGGAAUUAUGAAAAAACGGUUUGAUUGGGGGAGCAUGGGGAAAGCCUGCUGCCUGCAACCUGUAUCAGUCAGGAAGCUUUUGAGCAGACAUACUAAUUCCCACUGGAAAAAAAAAAGGUGCAAAUCCCUGGAGUGACACCGUCUUUUAAUCCCUCAUCACCUCGUACUCUCCUGAUCAGUUCUCUUCAGGAAAACGGGCAGAAUCCUAAGACAGAGUCUAAGAGAUGUUUUCUUUGAAUAAGGGGAGUAGACCCAGAAAGAAAAGAAAUCCAAGGUCUGUGUCUGCAUCUCAGCUCUGUCUGUUCCGAGGUGUGUCAUCUGGGGCUGUUCACCACCUCCCCUGGACUAAAGAUCCCUCACCUGCAAAAUGCGGAGGACAGCAGGAAGGUGAAGGCACUGUUUCAUGUUGGAGUGUUGGAAAGAAACAGAAGAGAAAGAAAAGAGAGGGAGGAGAAGAUUUAAGACCAGCGCACAGAUUGAAAUGGUUAAUGCCGUCUCGGGCUGGAGAACAAGUGCUCUGAGUGCUGAAGACUCCUCCCAUCUCCACAUCUCCAAAUGUCCCCAUGUAGAUUCCAGGAUCCACACAUCAGAGGCACCUGCCACUGAGCUGGGCAUGAACUCUGAAGACCAGGUAUGUCACUUGGGACAUUUGCCCAGAUGAGAAGUGCAGGGGUGGGCCAGGUGUGAGUGUCACCAAGUCCAGAUCAGGAACUGCUGACCUCUCACUGCUGCCUCCUCCAAAUCCUACAGAAGCCCCGCACAUGGGAGAUGCUGGACAAGACUGUGAGAACGGUA